GUAGUCUGCAACUCGACUACAUGAAGACUGGAAUCGCUAGUAAUCGCAGAUCAGAAUGCUGCGGUGAAUACGUUCCCGGGUCUUGUACACACCGCCCGUCACACCAUGGGAGUCGGAAAUGCCCGAAGCCGGUGACCAAACCAAUAAGGAAGGAGCCGUCGAAGGCAGGUCUGAUAACUGGGGUGAAGUCGUAACAAGGUAUC
RNAcentral lists this ribosomal RNA (203 nucleotides) under uncultured bacterium. RNAcentral's name for it is "partial 16S ribosomal RNA". It matches the Rfam family "Bacterial small subunit ribosomal RNA", at positions 1300 to 1500 of the family's 1533-position model. The record is from RNAcentral.